This 73-nucleotide transfer RNA is filed under the name Acidobacteriota bacterium. RNAcentral describes it as "Acidobacteria bacterium (soil metagenome) tRNA-Ala". It matches the Rfam family "tRNA". Rfam says of the family: Transfer RNA (tRNA) molecules are approximately 80 nucleotides in length. The record is from RNAcentral. Lineage: Bacteria; Pseudomonadati; Acidobacteriota. RNAcentral also lists the same sequence under 1 other name.
GGGGAAUUAGCUCAGCUGGGAGAGCGCCUGGUUUGCAACCAGGAGGUCACCGGUUCGAGACCGGUAUUCUCCA